GGGAAAGUAGCUCAACUGGCAGAGCAGCGGUGCGCACCAUAAAACAGGGAGAGCAAGAUUUUGGUUCGAAUCCAAACUUUUCCA
This 84-nucleotide transfer RNA is filed under the name Clostridium sp. Its description in RNAcentral is "tRNA-OTHER". It matches the Rfam family "tRNA". From Rfam's summary of the family: Transfer RNA (tRNA) molecules are approximately 80 nucleotides in length. Their secondary structure includes four short double-helical elements and three loops (D, anti-codon, and T loops). Lineage: Bacteria; Bacillati; Bacillota; Clostridia; Eubacteriales; Clostridiaceae. RNAcentral also lists the same sequence under 3 other names. The record is from RNAcentral.